GUCUACGGCCAUACCACCCUGAACGCGCCCCCAUCUCGUCUGAUCUUGGAAGCUAAGCAGGGUCAGGCCUGGUUAGUACUUGGAUGGGAGAGAGGACACCAGUAUCCUGUAAAGC
This 115-nucleotide ribosomal RNA is filed under the name Ochotona princeps (American pika). The record is from RNAcentral. Lineage: Eukaryota; Metazoa; Chordata; Mammalia; Lagomorpha; Ochotonidae.